AUGGCGGAGAGGCGGGGCUCCACGCUUCUCCGCAGCCUUCGCCUCAUUUCUCUAAGCCUCCUUUUGACAGCUUUCUUCCCUCCCAGAGAUCCAAGACUGGAGAACGGGUGCCCUGGUCUUCGGUGCCUGUCCAUCCCAACUGCUCCGGCGGGAACCGAAUCGCAGCACCUCCAUCCGGGGCCAGAGCUGACCGCACCUGCGCGCUGCCUCCGCCGACGGCGGCUCCGCCCCGCUCCUGCCCGGACUCGGCGUUGUCCCGCCUCUCUCGGCGACGGCCAUGUUGACUCCAGGAGAGCGGGGCGGGGACCUCGGCUCGGUUUAGCGCUGCGGAGCAUCUUCCCGCCUUGGUGUCACCUGAGGAAUUCUUCCUCGCACUUCGACUUCCUCUCAGCUCCCUUCCGCGCCUUCAGUACUCCAGAGCCCUGUGAGUAAAAUGGCAAAGUCUCAGGGCACUCUUGUGACUGGGAC
RNAcentral lists this long non-coding RNA (468 nucleotides) under Fukomys damarensis (Damara mole-rat). RNAcentral's name for it is "lncRNA (ENSFDAG00000028096.1)". The record is from RNAcentral. Lineage: Eukaryota; Metazoa; Chordata; Mammalia; Rodentia; Bathyergidae.